RNAcentral lists this ribosomal RNA (520 nucleotides) under uncultured Glomeromycotina. Its description in RNAcentral is "SSU rRNA". It matches the Rfam family "Eukaryotic small subunit ribosomal RNA", at positions 569 to 1090 of the family's 1831-position model. Lineage: Eukaryota; Fungi; Glomeromycota. The record is from RNAcentral.
AGCAGCCGCGGUAAUUCCAGCUCCAAUAGCGUAUAUUAAAGUUGUUGCAGUUAAAAAGCUCGUAGUUGAAUUUCGAGACCGGCUUACUGGUCGUGCUUUUGUACGUACUGGUAUAAUCGGUUUCUCCUUUCUGACGAACUAUAAUGCCAUUAAUUUGGUGUUAUAGGGAAUCAGGACUGUUACUUUGAAAAAAUUAGAGUGUUUAAAGCAGGCUCACGCUUGAAUACAUUAGCAUGGAAUAACGGAAUAGGACGUUUGAUUCUAUUUUGUUGGUUUCUAGGAUCGACGUAAUGAUUAAUAGGGAUAGUUGGGGGCAUUAGUAUUCAAUUGUCAGAGGUGAAAUUCUUGGAUUUAUUGAAGACUAACUACUGCGAAAGCAUUUGCCAAGGAUGUUUUCAUUAAUCAAGAACGAAAGUUAGGGGAUCGAAGACGAUCAGAUACCGUCGUAGUCUUAACCAUAAACUAUGCCGACUAGGGAUCGGAUGAUGUUAAUUUUUUAAUGUACUCAUUCGGCGCCUUA